AUUGAACGCUAGCGGGAUGCUUUACACAUGCCAGUCGAACGGCAGCGCGGACUUCGGUCUGGCGGCGAGUGGCGAACGGGUGAGUAAUGUAUCGGAACGUGCCCAGUAGCGGGGGAUAACUACGCGAAAGCGUAGCUAAUACCGCAUACGCCCUACGGGGGAAAGCAGGGGAUCGUAAGACCUUGCACUAUUGGAGCGGCCGAUAUCGGGUUAGCUAGUUGGUGAGGUAACGGCUCACCAAGGCGACGAUCCGUAGCUGGUUUGAGAGGACGACCAGCCACACUGGGACUGAGACACGGCCCAGACUCCUACGGGAGGCAGCAGUGGGGAAUUUUGGACAAUGGGGGCAACCCUGAUCCAGCCAUCCCGCGUGUGCGAUGAAGGCCUUCGGGUUGUAAAGCACUUUUGGCAGGAAAGAAACGUCGCGGGCUAAUACCCCGUGGAACUGACGGUACCUGCAGAAUAAGCACCGGCUAACUACGUG
RNAcentral lists this ribosomal RNA (484 nucleotides) under uncultured bacterium. RNAcentral's name for it is "partial 16S ribosomal RNA". It matches the Rfam family "Bacterial small subunit ribosomal RNA", at positions 30 to 507 of the family's 1533-position model. The record is from RNAcentral.